Mesocricetus auratus (golden hamster) is the source of this 2492-nucleotide long non-coding RNA. RefSeq lists it as uncharacterized. Lineage: Eukaryota; Metazoa; Chordata; Mammalia; Rodentia; Cricetidae. The record is from RefSeq and is a predicted model, not a curated record. The transcript is spliced from 2 exons.
GUGGAGAAGUAACGCAGGCCAGAAAGAGUUUCAGCUGAACCCCAGUCGUGCUCUAUGUUACUUGCCGGGUAGAGCCAAGUCCUAGCUCUCAGAAAAGCUGCUCUCUCCAUUUGCAAGCAGAGACAGGGCACCCAGGAGGGGCCCCAGGAGGCUGGGAGUAUGCUCAGGCAAAAGUGAAACUCAAGCCCUGAAAGCUAAGCCCCAAAUCCAAAUAUGCUGUUACGCAAAGCGUCCGCAGAUUGGCUCGUGCUUGGUUAUCGUAUGAGGUUACUGGUUGGCAUGUACUGCGCAAUUCUCUGGCAUGCCCGUGGCUCAUCAGUGGCAUUCCUUCUUGAGUCAACACUGACCCGCAGCCUGGCUCAGGGAGGACGCUUCAGCCUCGUCCAAGAGGCCAUCGUUUUACGUGAAACCUAAAGCGCACAGUCCUGUUGUGCUGGCGUCAUCCUGUUUGGCCUUUCAUCUCCAAGGAUGACCCGCCUCUCUCCUGUCAGAAUUAUAUCAGUUAAUGGACUAUGAUACCCACAGAACAUGGAGACCUGUGUGCUGAAGUAAGUCAACACGUUGCUUCGGGAUCCAGAUGCCAGGAGAAAUUUCUCUCCUUAGUCCCAUGUAAAUCUCAUGCUCUCUGCAAGUGAAGUGGUGAUACAGAAGAGCCCUUUCUUCUUAGCGUUGUUAAGAGCCCCUGUAUUAGGCUCCAAAGCUCUGGGCUUCGGGGUUCAGCUUAUAUGUACUGUUUGUGGAUAAUUGAGACCAUAGUACUGAACUCCUCUUUGCCUGGGUAACUGCCUACAAAUGAAAGUAAUAAAAAUGAGACCUCCCUAUUGGCGCAUCAGAAGAUUAUAGUGGUUGAUACACAUCCAAUCACUCAGUAUAGUGCCCAGUGCAGAGAAGCCUUCUUUCUCCAAGAAUUGUCCAUCAUGGUCUUUCUUCGUGCUUACAAUGGUGCUUGCAGGGUCCCACAGUGGAAACUCCAUCCUCUUGCUUUCUGCUCUUCGGCUGUUUCUUCUAUCCUGAUCAUGACCAUCCUGCCCUGGGUCUGUCUUCACAAGUUCUCUUUUAUGCCUUCUGUUCAGAUGAAAGCCAAGCUACGGAGGGCCCAACUCGCACAUGAAUGUAAGAACUGAAAUAGGAAGAACCGUGUGGCAGGUUCCUCCAUCACAGUUUCUGUCCUUAAUUUAUAAGAAGAACAAGUAUGACCUCCUCGAUAGUUUUGUGCGGUCUUUACAAAUCAUACCAUAGCUAAUUUUCUCCUUAAAUGAUAUUAUGUACAUGUGCUGGUUGUUUUUAUGUCAACCUGACACGAACCUAGACCUAUCUGGGAAUGGGGAACCUUAAGGGAGAAAAUGCUUUGGUAGGACUGGCCAGUGUACAAAUCUGUGGUGAUAUUUUCUUGAUUAAUGAUUGAUGUGGAAGGGUCUAGGCAACUGUGGGUAGUGCUGUCCCUGCGAAGGUAGUUCCCGGGGUGUGUAAAAAAGUAGGUUGAGCAAGCCAUGGAGAGCAAAGCAAUGUUCCUCCAUGGUCUCUGCUUCAUUUCCUGACUCCAGGUUCCUGCCCUGACUUCCUUUGAUGAUAGACUGUUAUAUGGAAGUGGAGGCUGAAAUAAACCCUUUCCUUCCCAGUUGCUUUUGGUCAUGCUGUUUGAUCACAAUAACAGAAACCUAACUAAUUUAGAGCAAGGCUCAGGGUUCCAUAAAGUGUGCAUCUCACUUGUUUGCCAUUGUAAAAUGAAUCUAUUCCAGUUAAUGGAAAGAAAAGGAAGAAAUUAAGACCUUCUUUUUCCUUAACUCUCCCACCUAUGCUCAUCUUGUAGUCCCAGAGUUUAAAAGAGCUCACAUCUUACAGGAAUUCGACCAAGGGUGAUGGUAGAACACGAAGACAGCUUAUGUAUUUGGUUAGGCUCUUCAAAGAGGCACGGAAAGAAUGUAUGCACCCGGAUCCUCCUUACCCACAAGGAAACCCAGAGUACCAUCUCUUUAAGUGAGGCAUGUAUCACAACAUGGCAUCGACCCCAGAAAGUGCACAGAGCCAGAGUGUCCCCAGCAUCAACACCUUCCAGGAUAGAAACUGAAUUCAUUUGCCAGCAACCAACUCCAGGGGACAGUGCCAGAAAGCACGGGACUGCUUGCAUUCAUUUCUGCGAAGUGAAUCAGGGUUGCCGGGUGUCAAUGAUGAGAUGUGAAAGUUCAACCAAAAACCCGAUGGUGGUCACUUUGGUUUCCCCUCUGUGGAAACACAGCUUCUCACUCGGAGGGUUUAUGUCAUGUGUGAUAUUGGCAUGUUGCUCUGGGUGUUCUCUGUGCCCUUCCCGUCCACACAAACACAUUUUUUCAGGUAAAGCCACUGGAAGGUCCUAUUUCAAAAGAAGAAGGAUUGUGAGCAUGGCCAAGACAAUCUUUCCAUUUGUAAAAAUAAUGUAAACCCUUUAGAGUAUAAUGUCCUGCAGAGCAGGGGAAUUGUACCACAGCAAUAAAAUUGUCAGCUUUCAAUAAUAA